AUUGAACGCUGGCGGCAUGCUUUACACAUGCAAGUCGAACGGCAGCGCGGGCUUCGGCCUGGCGGCGAGUGGCGAACGGGUGAGUAAUGCAUCGGAACGUGCCCAGUAGUGGGGGAUAGCCCGGCGAAAGCCGGAUUAAUACCGCAUACGACCUGAGGGUGAAAGCGGGGGACCGAAAGGCCUCGCGCUAUUGGAGCUGCCGAUGUCGGAUUAGCUAGUUGGUGGGGUAAAGGCUUACCAAGGCGACGAUCCGUAGCUGGUCUGAGAGGACGACCAGCCACACUGGGACUGAGACACGGCCCAGACUCCUACGGGAGGCAGCAGUGGGGAAUUUUGGACAAUGGGGGCAACCCUGAUCCAGCCAUGCCGCGUGCGGGAAGAAGGCCUUCGGGUUGUAAACCGCUUUUGUUCGGGAAGAAAUCCUCUGGGCUAAUACCCCGGGGGGAUGACGGUACCGGAAGAAUAAGCACCGGCUAACUACGUG
RNAcentral lists this ribosomal RNA (484 nucleotides) under uncultured bacterium. RNAcentral describes it as "partial 16S ribosomal RNA". It matches the Rfam family "Bacterial small subunit ribosomal RNA", at positions 28 to 507 of the family's 1533-position model. The record is from RNAcentral.